This 160-nucleotide unclassified non-coding RNA is filed under the name Colletotrichum gloeosporioides. RNAcentral describes it as "ITS2". Lineage: Eukaryota; Fungi; Ascomycota; Sordariomycetes; Glomerellales; Glomerellaceae. The record is from RNAcentral.
AACCCUCAAGCUCUGCUUGGUGUUGGGGCCCUACAGCUGAUGUAGGCCCUCAAAGGUAGUGGCGGACCCUCCCGGAGCCUCCUUUGCGUAGUAACUUUACGUCUCGCACUGGGAUCCGGAGGGACUCUUGCCGUAAAACCCCCCAAUUUUCCAAAGGUUG